This 206-nucleotide ribosomal RNA is filed under the name uncultured bacterium. Its description in RNAcentral is "partial 16S ribosomal RNA". It matches the Rfam family "Bacterial small subunit ribosomal RNA", at positions 568 to 773 of the family's 1533-position model. The record is from RNAcentral.
CGCGUAGGCGGUCCGGUAAGUCCGCUCUGAAAGUCCGGGGCUCAACCCCGGGAGGCGGGCGGAUACUGCCGGGCUAGAGUCCGGAAGAGGCGAGUGGAAUUCCUGGUGUAGCGGUGAAAUGCGCAGAUAUCAGGAGGAACACCAAUGGCGAAGGCAGCUCGCUGGGACGGUACUGACGCUGAGGCGCGAAAGCGUGGGGAGCAAAC